AACAACUCUUCUGUGAGACAAUCAUUUGGUUCAUUUACAUGAAAAGUCUUAAAUAGCAAAAAUGUUGCUUCCAAUUUACAUCAUACAGUGUCCCCACAACAGAGAACAAUGGCUUCCUCAAUGGAAGUUAAUGCAAAGGAGAGGCACACUGAUAUUAAAAAACAACAACAAAAAAACUUUUCAGCACACUUUGCAAAUAUUAACCAAUUAAUCUAAUUUAAAGUAAAACCCGGAAAUGCUUCCUGGGCUGGGAGUCUUCACGGGUCUCCUCAGGUAAUAUCAGUAUCUUCAGAGUCCAAUCAAACAGGAAUGAGCCUCUUGAAGAGGUUAUGGUGACACUGUUUUCAGAUCCUUCCAUUUUGUCCUAUUUCCAGGGUAAGCACAAUUAGCUUGAUGGGGGGGUUGUUCUCGCGUUUUAAAAAACAUUGCAAAUGAGUGCACGUCUGUGAACCAUGUAGGAACCAUGACCCAGCACUGGAUAAACAGCAUACCUGAUCUGGUGGUAAUAUACCGUCUCCCUCUCGGACGUGUUAAUGAUUAUACACCUUUGUGGUCUUUAAGGGGCUUAGGUAUGUAUCUUUUUUUGUGUUCUGGAGGCUGUGACCACCUGCUGUAUGUACAAUAUGCUGGUUACAUUUGUACACAUCUCCUUUCUUGAAUUUAAAGACCUAGCUAUUACAUCUUGUUUACUCAGUAUCAUUCCCCCAUUAAAAAAAAAAAAAAAACCUACAUGAACUGAACAUGCCAUGUUUCAAUCUGGCCCCAGUGGCUUUUUCUCUGAAAGCAAAACGUGUGUCUUUUACACCAGGGCUUUCUCCCCACCCCAGGGGGUGUCUUCCAUUCUUUUGUGGCUCAGUUUAAGGCGAAAAGGGCUCCAAACCACUAACUACCCAGAAGAGAGCCCCUUCUUCCACCUCCAGGGAGAAUUUCAGAUUUAAUGCAUCUGAAGAUAGCGUGCUCUCUUCUGACUUAUUUGCCACCAUAACGAGGAUAACAAAACACCACCUUGACUUCAAGAUCCUGGGUAGAGGCUCACGGUCUUUUGCAACCAUCUUUGGCGAGGCCUUGCUUCCUUCCACUCGAGCCUGUUGACUGGGGCUGCUUUUAACCCUUUCAUAUUUGCAGAGAAUGCAACCGUGUGACAGUAACUGAACAUUGGUCCAAAGUCUUUCCAAAGGGUCAAGGUUCACAAGGACUUGGACAGAAACCCAAAAAAUUCUCUGGGUUGGAAUUUCUCUUUGAUAUUGGUCCUGGUCUAAGGGGGAGUUGUUACUCACAUUUCAUUAUGUGUGCUCUUAGAUUUGAACAUCUGAUCAAAUUCAUGACCAUGGGGGAUAUGAAGACCCCAGACUUUGAUGACCUCUUGGCAGCAUUUGACAUCCCAGAUAUGGUCGAUCCCAAAGCAGCUAUAGAGUCUGGACACGACGACCAGGAAAGCCACAUCAAGCAGAACGCCCACGUGGAUGAUGACUCCCACACGCCGUCCUCCUCCGACGUCGGUGUCAGCGUUAUUGUUAAGAACGUUCGGAACAUUGACUCCUCAGAGGGUGCCGAGAAGGAUGGCCACAGUGCCACCGGCAACGGCUUGCACAACGGGUUUCUCACGGCGUCCUCUCUUGACACUUACAGUAAAGAUGGGUCGAAGUCCUUGAAAGGAGACGUGCCUACCUCAGAGGUGACUUUGAAAGACUCCACUUUCAGCCAGUUUAGUCCCAUCUCAAGUGCUGAAGAGUUUGACGACGAUGAGAAGAUAGAGGUGGAUGACCCCCCUGACAAAGAGGACAUGCGUUCAGGCUUUCGAUCGAAUGUGUUGGCUGGAUCGGUUCCCCAGCAGGACUAUGAUAAACUAAAGGCACUUGGGGGAGAAGGCCUAAGCAAAACUGGAAUCUCUACGUCAGGCAAUCUAGAUAAAAACAAAGUUGUUAAGAGAGAAACGGAAACAAAUUCUAUAAAUCUGAGUGUUUAUGAAUCUUUUAAAGUCAGAAAAGUGGAGGAUAAGUUGAAGGAAAACUCGGAAAAGGUGCUUGAAAACAGGGUCCACGAGGGGAAGCUGAGCUCUGAGAAGAAUGAUGCCUCCUUGGGCGGUGUGGCGCCGUCAAGGACCAAGCCAUCCUCCAAGCUUUCUUCCUGCAUUGCUGCAAUUGCAGCGCUUAGCGCUAAAAAGGCUGCUUCUGACUCCUCUAAAGAACCAGUGACCAAUUCCCGGGAGUCCUCACCAUUACCAAAAGAAGUAAAUGACAGCCCAAGAGCCAUCGAAAAGUCUCCUGAAUCCCAGAGUCUCAUUGAUGGGACGAAAAAAGUGUCCCUCAAGCAGCCGGAUAGUCCCAGGAGCAUUUCCAGUGAAAACAGUAGCAAGGGAUCGCCCUCCUCUCCUGCAGGGUCAACACCAGCAAUUCCCAAAGUCCGCAUCAAAACCAUCAAAACGUCUUCUGGGGAAAUCAAGAGAACCGUGACGAGGGUGUUGCCUGAAGUCGAUCUCGAUGCCGGUAAAAAGCCUUCUGAGCAGACGGGGUCCAUGGUGGCAUCCGUGACAUCACUUCUGUCGUCUCCGACCUCGGCCGCCGUUCUUUCCUCCCCACCCAGGGCACCUCUGCAGUCAGCGGUCGUCACCAACGCAGUGGCCCCUGCUGAGCUGACCCCCAAACAGGUUACCAUCAAGCCUGUGGCAACCGCCUUCCUCCCGGUGUCAGCUGUGAAGACAGCCGGAUCUCAAGUCAUCAAUUUGAAGCUCGCCAACAACACGACGGUCAAAGCCACGGUCAUAUCUGCUGCCUCGGUUCAGAGUGCCAGCAGUGCCAUCAUUAAAGCUGCCAACGCCAUCCAGCAGCAGACUGUCGUGGUGCCGGCCUCCAGCCUGGCCAACGCCAAACUCGUGCCAAAGACUGUGCACCUCGCCAACCUCAACCUUCUGCCUCAGGGCGCCCAGGCCACUUCCGAGCUCCGCCAAGUGCUCACCAAACCUCAGCAGCAAAUAAAGCAGGCAAUAAUCAAUGCCGCGGCCUCGCAGCCACCCAAAAAGGUGUCGCGGGUCCAGGUGGUGUCCUCCCUGCAGAGUUCUGUGGUGGAAGCUUUCAACAAGGUGCUGAGCAGCGUCAACCCAGUCCCAGUUUACAUCCCCAACCUCAGUCCCCCUGCCAACGCGGGCAUCACGCUCCCGACCCGCGGCUACAAGUGCUUGGAGUGUGGGGACUCCUUCGCCCUUGAAAAGAGCCUGACCCAGCACUACGACAGACGCAGCGUGCGCAUCGAAGUGACCUGCAACCACUGUACCAAGAACCUGGUGUUUUACAACAAGUGCAGUCUCCUGUCCCAUGCCCGUGGGCACAAGGAGAAGGGGGUGGUGAUGCAGUGCUCCCACUUGAUUUUGAAGCCAGUCCCGGCAGACCAGAUGAUCGUUUCUCCGUCAAGCAAUACUCCUGCUUCAUCUUCCACUCUGCCAAGCUCCGGGGGCGCUGGCACGCACACUGUAACAAAAAUUCAGUCUGGCAUAACUGGGACAGUCAUAUCAGCCCCUUCAAGCACACCCAUCAUUCCAGCUAUGCCUCUGGAUGAAGAUCCAUCCAAGCUCUGUAGGCAUAGUCUGAAAUGUUUGGAGUGUAAUGAAGUUUUCCAGGAUGAGACGUCACUGGCUACCCAUUUCCAGCAGGCCGCAGAUACCAGUGGACAAAAGACUUGCACUGUCUGCCAGAUGCUGCUUCCUAACCAGUGCAGUUACGCAUCUCACCAGAGAAUCCAUCAGCACAAAUCUCCCUACACCUGCCCCGAGUGUGGGGCCAUCUGCAGGUCGGUGCAUUUCCAGACCCACGUCACCAAGAACUGUCUGCACUACACGCGGAGAGUUGGUUUUCGAUGUGUACAUUGCAAUGUUGUGUACUCUGAUGUGGCCGCACUGAAGUCUCACAUUCAAGGUUCUCACUGUGAAGUCUUCUACAAGUGUCCUAUUUGUCCAAUGGCAUUUAAGUCUGCCCCAAGUACACAUUCUCAUGCCUACACACAGCAUCCUGGCAUCAAGAUAGGAGAACCAAAAAUAAUAUAUAAGUGUUCCAUGUGCGACACUGUAUUUACCCUGCAAACUCUGCUGUAUCGCCACUUUGAUCAACACAUCGAAAACCAGAAGGUGUCUGUUUUCAAGUGUCCAGACUGCUCUCUUUUAUAUGCACAGAAGCAACUCAUGAUGGACCAUAUCAAGUCUAUGCAUGGAACAUUGAAAAGUAUUGAAGGGCCUCCAAACUUGGGUAUAAACUUGCCUCUGAGCAUUAAGCCUACAACUCAAAAUGCAGCAAAUCAAAACAAAGAGGACACCAGAUCCAUGAACGGGAAAGAGAAAUUGGAAAAGAAAUCCCCAUCACCUGUGAAAAAGUCAGUGGAACCCAAGAAAGUGGCCAGUCCUGGAUGGACGUGUUGGGAGUGUGACCGCCUGUUCACGCAGAGAGAUGUUUACAUUUCCCACGUGAGGAAGGAGCACGGGAAGCCUAUCCACAAAUCAAAUCCACCCUUGAGGAAUAUACCAAAUCCAACUGCUUAUCAUCACCUGUCUUUCCAAGCCCAGCAAAUGAAAAAACACCCCUGCCGCCAGUGUGACAAAUCUUUCAGCUCAUCCCACAGCCUGUGCCGUCACAACCGGAUCAAGCACAAAGGCAUCAGGAAAGUUUAUACCUGCUCGCACUGCCCAGACUCCAGGCGCACCUUCACAAAACGGUUGAUGCUGGAGAAACAUAUCCAGCUCAUGCACGGAAUUAAGGAUCCUGACUUGAAAGAAAUGACAGAAGCCACCAAUGAGGAGGAAGCAGAAAUAAAAGAAGACACCAAGGUUCCCAGCCCCAAGCGGAAGUUGGAAGAGCCUGUUUUAGAGUUCAGGCCUCCCCGAGGAGCCAUCACUCAGCCCCUGAAGAAGCUCAAGAUCAAUGUCUUCAAGGUGCACAAAUGCGCCGUGUGCGGCUUCACCACCGAGAACCUGCUGCAGUUCCACGAGCACAUCCCGCAGCACAAGUCGGACGGCUCGUCCCACCAGUGCCGAGAGUGUGGCCUCUGCUACACGUCGCACGUCUCCCUGUCCCGGCACCUCUUCAUCGUCCACAAACUGAAGGAGCCGCAGCCGGCGGCCAAGCAGAACGGGGCCGGCGAGGAGAACCAGCAGGAGAACAAACCGGGCCCCGAGGAUGAGCCAGCCGACGGCCCUGCGUCAGACCGAACAUGCAAAGUGUGUGCAAAGACGUUCGAGACGGACGCUGCCUUAAACGCUCACAUGCGGACUCACGGCAUGGCCUUCAUCAAAUCCAAAAGAGUGAGCUCGGCUGAGAAAUAGCCAGGCACCCUCCACAAGGAGAAUCCCUCUCCACAUUGGAAGAAAAAAGACAUUUUUGUUACAGAAAGUUUGCAGUAUCAUAGAGUUAACAGUACUGUCUAGGCUGUUGCAAUAUAUCCUCUCUCCAAGUCCCUUCUCCACCUCCGCCUGUAUAUCCUCCUCCUCGAUAAGUAUUAAAACAGUAUUUGAGUUUAAAAGAGUUUGUAUAUAUUUAAAUGAAUAACUUUUUAUACUCUUUGUUACAUGUUUGUAUCAGUAUUUAGUGGAAAAUGUUUUGAAGUGUUUCUGUUUUUUUUUUCUUUUUAGUUUUUUUUUUUUUUUUUUUUUAAUUUGGGUUAGGUUUUUUUCUUUUUGUACUGUUUCUUUAAAUCAGAGUUCUUAGUAACAGGGGCAGUUACUGAAUCAAAUAAACCAUUUUGUAUGUCACAGAUUUGAAUGGGUUAACUAAUUACAGGCUACAAUAAUGCCUUUUUUAGUGUUUUUAAUUUUUAGAGUUCACUACAUAAACUGUAGGUGACUGUAGGUCUCAAAAACACUAGGGACUUUUAAGUGUCUUAGCACUAUCCUCAAUGUGCCUGCUCCGCCAGGGAUGCCCGGCCCCGCCAGGAACGCAUUCCCGGCGUGUGGCGUUUUCUCCAGGCCAUGCCAAACGGUGUUGACAGCAGCCUUGCAGAUCGCUUCUUUCCCAGUGGGGGAUGAAAACUUGGGUCAGAAAUCCAGUAAGGCACACGGAUUUCCUUCAUUCCAUCUCAGACCGGGGAAGAAGGGUAUCUUAAAGGGAAAAAAGCAGGGACCAGUGGUUUUCUGGGCAGAUUUGCAAGGCUGGCUUCUAAAAGAGCACAAGGAGAUAAAGUGAAGAAAGGGCUGGACUACUGUAAAAGUUACAAAUACAUAGUUAGACCAAUAGAUUUAUAUAGUCACGUUUUUGUCAUGUAAUUUAUUAACUAUUACAAAAACACAACUAAAAGUAUGAAGUAUUUCUCUGGCUCUUGACAGAAAAAAAAAAAAAAAUCACAGUUGACUUAACCCUUUGCUGUCUAUAAAGAGUUGGCGUUUCCUGUUCUGGGUGCUACUGCCAAACAUCCUGGUACUUAGAGUUGGGAUGCACAACUUCUGCCACCCACUUAUCAAUGCAGCACUGGUGUGGCACAAUUGGCUGUUCGAUUCCACACUGAGCCACCUGGGUUUAGUUCAGUCAUUUCAAUAAGUAUCUGUAAUACCGGUAGUUCCGCUUUCUUAGUGCAGCCAAGGUACUUCUUCUGUCCCUUCCAAACGUUUAUAGUUGUCCGGGAGAGUUCUAUUUUUUGGUUUUUGUUUCGUGUUUUCUUUUGCAUUUUAUAUCUUGUAUUUAUCCCUAAACAUGUUUUGUACUUUUUUUUUUUUUUUUAAAGAAAAGAAAUCCUUUUGUGUAUAUAUAGAUAUACUUGCAUGAUAUACUGUAGUCGAUGUUCGGUUCCUCCAAAGGUCUUGCUGCUGUCAGGUGUCAUGCACUAACCACAUCCAUCAUAACUGUAUUAAACACAUUUCAUAUGUAAAUAAAAGUGGGACAUUUGGCCCUCGUG
This is a non-coding RNA of Sus scrofa (pig), 6867 nucleotides long. Lineage: Eukaryota; Metazoa; Chordata; Mammalia; Artiodactyla; Suidae. The record is from RefSeq and is a predicted model, not a curated record.